CGGACGGGUGAGUAAUGCUUGGGAAUCUAGCUUAUGAGGGGGAGUAACUACGGGAAACUGUAGCUAAUACCGCGUAGAAUCGGGAGAUGAAAGUGUGGGACCUUCGGGCCACAUGCCAUAGGAUGAGCCCAAGUGGGAUUAGGUAGUUGGUGAGGUAAAGGCUCACCAAGCCGACGAUCUCUAGCUGGUCUGGGAGGAUGACCAGCCACACUGGGACUGAGACACGGCCCAG
RNAcentral lists this ribosomal RNA (232 nucleotides) under uncultured bacterium. Its description in RNAcentral is "partial 16S ribosomal RNA". It matches the Rfam family "Bacterial small subunit ribosomal RNA", at positions 99 to 334 of the family's 1533-position model. The record is from RNAcentral.